UACGUAGGGUGCGAGCGUUGUCCGGAAUUAUUGGGCGUAAAGAGCUCGUAGGCGGCUUGGCAAGUCGGGUGUGAAACCUCCAGGCUCAACCUGGAGACGCCACUCGAUACUGCCAUGGCUAGAGUCCGGUAGGGGACCACGGAAUUCCUGGUGUAGCGGUGAAAUGCGCAGAUAUCAGGAGGAACACCGGUGGCGAAGGCGGUGGUCUGGGCCGGCACUGACGCUGAGGAGCGAAAGCGUGGGGAGCAAACAGG
RNAcentral lists this ribosomal RNA (254 nucleotides) under uncultured bacterium. RNAcentral describes it as "partial 16S ribosomal RNA". It matches the Rfam family "Bacterial small subunit ribosomal RNA", at positions 524 to 776 of the family's 1533-position model. The record is from RNAcentral.